Molecule: transfer RNA, 73 nt
Filed under: Paramuricea clavata
Lineage: Eukaryota; Metazoa; Cnidaria; Anthozoa; Malacalcyonacea; Plexauridae
Rfam family: tRNA
About the family: Transfer RNA (tRNA) molecules are approximately 80 nucleotides in length.
Source: Rfam by way of RNAcentral
GACUCUGUAGUUCAGUUGGUUAGAGCGCUGCUCCAGAAUCGCAGGUCCGCAGGUUCAAUUCCUGCCAGAGACC